This 31-nucleotide non-coding RNA is filed under the name Homo sapiens (human). The record is from RNAcentral. Lineage: Eukaryota; Metazoa; Chordata; Mammalia; Primates; Hominidae.
UGGGUGGGCCUAAACAAUUUGCAACUUAGGU